GGAUGUGAAGGUGAUCUAGCCGUGACAUCUCUCACUCCAUUGAUCACCAGGUUUGAUCUGUCAGAUCUGGUCUGCUAGGCGGCUGUGCCCUUCCUCCCUUGCUGCUCUGUGUGUGUCUGUGCUGAAGCUCCAUGCUCAGUCGCUCAGUUGAAGUGGACAACCACCCUCGGUAGAGGAGGACUGUUUCCUCAGUUAGGGUAUAGGAGUAGGCAUACUCCCCUGCUAGAACGUCUGAACAAAGUCUCAAGAAUUGCACCUAAUGCUCUGCUUACAGCAAUAUGGGCCUCCAAAUGCUUCCAAAGCCUGCCAGUUAUCAGCUUCUAACUCUG
RNAcentral lists this small nuclear RNA (329 nucleotides) under Cavia aperea (Brazilian guinea pig). RNAcentral describes it as "7SK RNA (ENSCAPG00000001135.1)". It matches the Rfam family "7SK RNA". From Rfam's summary of the family: 7SK was discovered as an abundant small nuclear RNA in the mid-70s but a possible function has only recently been suggested. Two independent studies have found that 7SK RNA binds the CDK9/cyclin T complex (known as elongation factor P-TEFb). P-TEFb activates transcription by phosphorylating the C-terminal domain of RNA polymerase II. Lineage: Eukaryota; Metazoa; Chordata; Mammalia; Rodentia; Caviidae. The record is from RNAcentral.